AAUUCGAUUGAGUUUGAUCAUGGCUCAGGACGAACGCUGGCGGCGUGCCUAACACAUGCAAGUCGAACGGGACCAGGGGCAACUCUGGUUCAGUGGCGGACGGGUGCGUAACACGUGAGGAACAUGACCUUCGGCGGGGGAUAGCCGGCCCAACGGCCGGGUAAUACCGCGUACGACCACCUGGGGACAUCCUCGAGUGGUGAAAGCAGCAAUGCGCCGAUGAAGUGCCUCGCGGCCUAUCAGCUAGUUGGUGGGGUAACGGCUCACCAAGGCGACGACGGGUAGCUGGUCUGAGAGGAUGGCCAGCCACAUUGGGACUGAGACACGGCCCAGACUCCUACGGGAGGCAGCAGUGGGGAAUAUUGCGCAAUGGACGAAAGUCUGACGCAGCGACGCCGCGUGUGGGAUGACGGUCUUCGGAUUGUAAACCACUGUCGGGAGGGACGAAUACGCCGCAAGGCGGGUGACGGUACCUCCAAAGGAAGCACCGGCUAACUCCGUGCCAGCAGCCGCGGUAAUACGGAAGGUGCGAGCGUUGUCCGGAAUCACUGGGCGUAAAGGGCGCGUAGGCGGCCUGAUAAGUAGGGGGUGAAAUCCUGCGGCUUAACCGCAGGGCUGCCUUCUAAACUGUCAGGCUCGAGCACAGUAGAGGCAGGUGGAAUUCCCGGUGUAGCGGUGGAAUGCGUAGAGAUCGGGAAGAACAUCAGUGGCGAAGGCGGNCUGCUGGGCUGUUGCUGACGCUGAGGCGCGACAGCGUGGGGAGCAAACAGGAUUAGA
This 777-nucleotide ribosomal RNA is filed under the name uncultured bacterium. RNAcentral's name for it is "bacterial SSU rRNA". It matches the Rfam family "Bacterial small subunit ribosomal RNA", at positions 1 to 782 of the family's 1533-position model. The record is from RNAcentral.